UACGGAGGGUGCGAGCGUUAAUCGGAAUUACUGGGCGUAAAGCGCACGCAGGCGGGGUUUUAAGCCAGAUGUGAAAUCCCCGGGCUUAACCUGGGAAUGGCAUUUGAGACUGGGAGUCUAGAGUGCAGUAGGGGGGGGUAGAAUUCCACGUGUAGCGGUGAAAUGCGUAGAGAUGUGGAGGAAUACCGGUGGCGAAGGCAGCCCCUUGGGAUUGUACUGACGCUCAGGUGCGAAAGCGUGGGGAGCAAACAGG
RNAcentral lists this ribosomal RNA (253 nucleotides) under uncultured bacterium. RNAcentral's name for it is "partial 16S ribosomal RNA". It matches the Rfam family "Bacterial small subunit ribosomal RNA", at positions 524 to 776 of the family's 1533-position model. The record is from RNAcentral.